This 58-nucleotide transfer RNA is filed under the name Cricetulus griseus (Chinese hamster). It matches the Rfam family "tRNA", at positions 8 to 63 of the family's 71-position model. Rfam says of the family: Transfer RNA (tRNA) molecules are approximately 80 nucleotides in length. Their secondary structure includes four short double-helical elements and three loops (D, anti-codon, and T loops). Further hydrogen bonds mediate the characteristic L-shaped molecular structure. tRNAs have two regions of fundamental functional importance: the anti-codon, which is responsible for specific mRNA codon recognition, and the 3' end, to which the tRNAs corresponding amino acid is attached (by aminoacyl-tRNA synthetases). tRNAs cope with the degeneracy of the genetic code in two manners: having more than one tRNA (with a specific anti-codon) for a particular amino acid; and 'wobble' base-pairing, i.e. permitting non-standard base-pairing at the 3rd anti-codon position. Lineage: Eukaryota; Metazoa; Chordata; Mammalia; Rodentia; Cricetidae. RNAcentral also lists the same sequence under 3 other names. The record is from Rfam by way of RNAcentral.
UGGCUCAGUGGUUAAGAGCACUGGCUGUUCUUUCAGAGGACCUGGGUUCAAUUCCCAG